Molecule: long non-coding RNA, 1984 nt
Filed under: Homo sapiens (human)
Lineage: Eukaryota; Metazoa; Chordata; Mammalia; Primates; Hominidae
Description: PREDICTED lncRNA (TCONS_00151643)
Rfam family: ZEB2 antisense RNA 1 conserved region 1 (bases 351-478)
Source: RNAcentral
CCACUUUGACAAUAUUUACUUAAGUAUUUCCCCCCACCUCACUCACACACAUGCUCCCCCACACUGGUUCCCUUAAAUAGUUCCAGUAGAAUUUUUUUUUUCCCUUAAGAAAGGAAAGAGAAAGUCCAACCACUACGGCAAUACUUUUAAGCUCUACUAAAUGAUCGUAUCCUUUCUGGCUUCGAAACUUUUGUACCUAAAAAUCGAGAGAGGCGCUGCAUUUUUUCAGUUGAAACUGUCAAAACUUGGAGAAGGGGGACCUCGGAGGCAGGCAGGAGAGGAGGAGAAUCCUGAAAACUCGGUGGAGGUUGGGAAGAUGCUGUGCCUCGAGGAUUAGUUUAAACAGGGGGCUAUAAAAGAUGUAACAGAUGCAAACUGUAACACAAGGGCCAUUAACCCUUUCUCUGCCGGGCACACUCAGUCCCCACGCCCCACACCUAUUGUCUCCUGUGCUAGAAGCUUUGCAGAAAACCUGGAAAGGGAAAUCCUGAAAUAAAGAAAUGGUCACACAAGUGUCUGGGAUGAAACAGCUGGCCUGUCUAUAUUCAUCCUGAGACACACGACUGCAUAUAAAUACAUGUUUAAUAAAGUAUUUGCCAAGUCCUAAUUGCUGAAUAUAAUGAAUUGGAACUAGAUGCGAAAAUAGAGCAGGACCUCUCCCCUUGAUGAGUUUUUAUUCCAGCCAUAUAAUUCUCAAUAAAACUUUUCCUGGGCUGGAUAGCAAAGGACACCUUUGGUUACCUGAAUGAACAGGUACAGGGGAAAUUAUUUGGGGGAGGGAAAAAGGAGAGAAAAGCAAGGAGAGAGAGUGUGAGUGUAAGAGAAAGCGAAGAAGCCACUCUUGAGAAAAGCUUGCCAUAAAGGAGCUAAACCCACCUGAAAUUCCUACCCACGGACACCCCUUCUCACUUCAGACUCACAUCCCCACUCAAAAUGAGAAAAUUAGAAAAGGAGGAUGGAGGACGAGCACACCAAAAAGGGAUAAAAAGAGAGAAAAGGGGAGGAAAAAAAACCUACCUGCGAAGUCUUGUUUGUAGUUUUGGCCAGAAAUGGUGAGAAGAAAAAGCAUGAAGAAGCCGCGAAGUGUGGGGGAGAAAAAGGUGGAAGCGAAGAAACAGCUCCCGGAGCAAACUGUACAAAAACCUCGCCAAGAGUGUCGGGAGGCAGGACCGUUAUUCCUGCAGAGCAGGAGAGAGACGAGAGACCCUGAAACACGCGCCACCUAUCUUUGUGGGGAGGGAUAAUUGAAGCGCCCUGAGCGUACCAGAGCCAGAAAAAAAAAUGCUGCAUGGGAGCUGCAUCUUAGGGCAUGUGUAUUAGGGUGUGUGCAUGAUGAAUUUCUGGACUGGAUCCCAAUAUUAAAAAGUAGUUUGGCAUUUUAAUAAAGGGUCUCUAAGUAAAUUAAAAUAGAACACUCGGUUGGCCGAUCUCUGAAUCUCUCUACACCUCGGGGAGACCUCACUACAAAGUAAGGGAGAGUGUGUAGGGAGGCAGGAGGAGAAACGAGAAAGGCCAUAGAGAAACUUAGCAGGGAAGGGAGAGCAUGAUAUUAAACGGCAUGGGGUCUAAGUUUUGGAGUAUAUAUUUUUUGAUAUUACAAUUAAAGUAAGAUUAAAAAGAAAAGACUCCACCUUUGCUCUGAAGGGAUUGGUUAUGCAAAUAUGGAAGGGAUUUCCUGGAGAAUACAGCUUUCUACUGUAUGGUUAAUUAAAUAAUCACUCAAAAGCUUCCAACGUGACGCUUCUGUCGUAAUCCAAUCAGGUUACAUAGGUCCUAAACAAGAAAGAUAUUUUCCACAUCUGGAAGUCAGCAAUUUAGCAAGUACUGCACAUUAUUAACCAAUUCAGAGCCCACUUCCCAGGGGAAUUUUUUUGAAGUUUAAGUGUUCUUAACCAAUGCUCUGCUGUUUUGUUAAUCAAAAAGCUGGUUUACACUGCACAUAAUUGGAACUAAUAUAGAAGUAAAUAAAGACAGCCAAAUUUGA